Molecule: small nucleolar RNA, 130 nt
Organism: Fukomys damarensis (Damara mole-rat)
Lineage: Eukaryota; Metazoa; Chordata; Mammalia; Rodentia; Bathyergidae
Source: Ensembl
AGCUAAUAGUUUUCUUAAAAACAAAACUUGAUGGAUACUGUUGAUUGGUCACUGUGGCUAAAAUUGAGACACAGGUCACUUCCAGCACAGUAAGAGUAUUAUAGUGGUGACAAUGAGACCUGUAACAUUU